This is a long non-coding RNA of Mya arenaria, 208 nucleotides long. RefSeq lists it as uncharacterized. NCBI's taxonomy places the organism in Eukaryota, Metazoa, Mollusca, Bivalvia, Myida, Myidae. The record is from RefSeq and is a predicted model, not a curated record. The transcript has 3 exons.
AUUUCAUUUUUAUUUACACUUACAGUUCAAACUGAAAGGGGAGAGGAAUGGGAAAAGAAUGCGGCGCUGUUUCCUUGAUGAAAGAAACGAAACGAUCAAACAUGCAGGGUCAAAUUCCGAAUUUCUUGACGUGCUGGCAGACAUGGGAUUGGAAGUGAUAAGGAGAAACCGGAAGAAUGGCAGUGCAGUAUCGGCUACUAAUGAUGUA